RNAcentral lists this ribosomal RNA (253 nucleotides) under uncultured bacterium. RNAcentral describes it as "partial 16S ribosomal RNA". It matches the Rfam family "Bacterial small subunit ribosomal RNA", at positions 524 to 776 of the family's 1533-position model. The record is from RNAcentral.
UACGUAGGGUGCAGGCGUUGUCCGGAAUUAUUGGGCGUAAAGAGCUCAUAGGCGGUCUGUCGCGUCUGCUGUGAAAACUCGGGGCUUAACCCCGGGCCUGCAGUGGGUACGGGCAGACUAGAGUGCGGUAGGGGAGACUGGAAUUCCUGGUGUAGCGGUGAAAUGCGCAGAUAUCAGGAGGAACACCGGUGGCGAAGGCGGGUCUCUGGGCCGUAACUGACGCUGAGGAGCGAAAGCGUGGGGAGCGAACAGG